GACGAACGCUGGCGGCGUGCUUAACACAUGCAAGUCGAACGGAAAGGCCCUGCUUUUGUGGGGUGCUCGAGUGGCGAACGGGUGAGUAACACGUGAGUAACCUGCCCUUGACUUUGGGAUAACUUCAGGAAACUGGGGCUAAUACCGGAUAGGAGCUCCUGCUGCAUGUUGGGGGUUGGAAAGUUUCGGCGGUUGGGGAUGGACUCGCGGCUUAUCAGCUUGUUGGUGGGGUAGUGGCUUACCAAGGCUUUGACGGGUAGCCGGCCUGAGAGGGUGACCGGCCACAUUGGGACUGAGGUAGGGCCCAGACUCCUACGGGAGGCAGCAGUGGGGAAUAUUGCACAAUGGGCGGAAGCCUGAUGCAGCAACGCCGCGUGCGGGAUGACGGCCUUCGGGUUGUAAACCGCUUUCGCCUGUGACGAAGCGUGAGUGACGGUAAUGGGUAAAGAAGCACCGGCUAACUACGUG
This 468-nucleotide ribosomal RNA is filed under the name uncultured bacterium. Its description in RNAcentral is "partial 16S ribosomal RNA". It matches the Rfam family "Bacterial small subunit ribosomal RNA", at positions 28 to 507 of the family's 1533-position model. The record is from RNAcentral.